This 1356-nucleotide long non-coding RNA is filed under the name Homo sapiens (human). RNAcentral describes it as "HSALNT0319441". The record is from RNAcentral. Lineage: Eukaryota; Metazoa; Chordata; Mammalia; Primates; Hominidae.
GAAAUCUAGCAGGGCAUCAUUAAAUCUUAUAGCUCGAAAAUAAUCUCCUUUGACUCCAUGUCCUGCAUUCUGGGCACACUGGUGCAAGGAGUGGGCUCCCAAGUUCUUGGUCAUCCCAUCCCCUGUGGCUUUUUCAGGGUACAGCCCAUGUGGCUGCUCUCAUGGGUUGGAGUUGAGUGCUGGCAGGCUCAGGAUGCAAGCUAUCUAUGGCUACUAUUCUGAGGUCUGGAGGAUGGCAGCCCCCUUCUCACAGCUCCACCUGACAGUCCCCUGGUGGGGACUCUGUGGGUCCACCCACAUUUUCCCUUGACAUUGCCCUGGUACAGUCUUUUGUGGGUGCUUCACCCCUGUAACAGGCUUCUGCCUGGGCAUUUAGACUUUCCAGCACGUCUUUUGAAAUCCAGGGGAGUGCUGCCAAGCCACCUUCACUUUUGCAUUCUGUUUGCCUGCAGGCUUAACACCGAGUAGAAACUGCCAAGGAUAUGGCAGCUUGAACUAUCCAGAGUGGCAGCCCAAAUUGUACCUUGAUGUCCUUUUAGCCAUGGCUGUAGCUGGAGCAGCUGGAAUGCAGGGAGCAGUGUCCCAAGGCUGCACAGGGAAGUGGCACUCUGGGCCUGGACCCUAAAACCAUUCUUUCCUCUUAGGCUUCAGGGUUUGUGAUGGGAGGAACUGUCUAGAAGACUUGAAGACUGCCAAAAUGCCUUUGAGGCUUUUUCCCAUUGUCUUUGAUAUUAGCACCAGGUUCCCUUUUAGUCAUGCUAAUCUCUCUAGCCAGUGGUUUCUCUGCAGCCUGCUUGGAUUCUUUCUCUACCACAGGGCCAGCCUGCAAAUUUUUCAAAUGUUUUUGCUCUACUUCUCUUUUAAAUAUAAGUCCAACUUUAAGUCAUUUCUUUGUUCUCAUAUCUGAUCGCAGGUUGUUAGAAGAAGCCAUGCCACUUCUUGAACACCUUGCUGCUUAGAAAUUUCUUCCAGCACAUACCCUAAGUCAUCACUUUUAAGUUCAAACAUCCACUGAUCCCUAGAACAUGAACACAAUGCAGCCAGGUUUUUUGCUAGGGCAUAACAUGGAUGACCUUUACUUCACUUCCCAAUAACUUUCUCAUUUCUGUCUGAGACUCCAUCAGCCUGUCCUUUGUCCAUAUUUCCAUCAGCAUUUUGGUCACAAGCAUUUAACAAGUCUCUAAGAAGUUCCAAACUUUCCCUUGGCUUCCUGUCUCCUUCUGAGCCCUCCAAACUCGUCUAAUCUCCACCUGUUACCCAGUUCCAAGGCUGCUUCCACAAUCUCAAGUAUCUUUAUUGCAACAGCUGACUCCUCAGUACCAAGUUAGUGCUACCAAGGGGAUGGAACUAAGCCGA